Equus asinus (donkey) is the source of this 2038-nucleotide long non-coding RNA. The record is from Ensembl. Lineage: Eukaryota; Metazoa; Chordata; Mammalia; Perissodactyla; Equidae.
CAACUGAAUGCCUGGGUGGAUCAAGGUGGUGAUCUCUUUUCGUCCUGUAGCAAGGUAGACUUGUGGGUGUGGUCUGCCUUCACUGAGAUGGAAAUAAGAAAUUACAACUAGAGACGAUCAGAUCUGUAAGGCCUGGAGAGCCACGCAGAAGGAUGCAGACUGGUCAUCGGGCAGGAGUAUUGGGGCACAGAUGGCCAGUAUUGGAGGCUGAGACUUGAGAGAUGUCAAACAUCUGAGUGGGACCAGGACAGGGUGGAUGCCUCGACCUGACUCUCUAUUUACGUGGCUGGGUGAUUGGGCGCUUGUGAAGAAAACACUGGCAUAUGUUGGUGACACAGUAAAUCCACAUCUACCUGCUAGUGUAAGAGUCUCAGCAUCACACAGCAAUCAUUUUGGGUUUUCUUCCGAGGUAUUUUCUGCAGACCUCAGCACAGCUCACUUCUACAGCCAAGGUUUUGCAGAACAAUAUGAUCAUCUUUAACUUUGAGAAAGCUGCUCUCUAAGAUCGUCUGGAUCCUGUGCUACUUCAAAAGUGUACGUGGUGAGCCAAGGCAAACAUCUCUUGAGGUAUUGGCACAAAGCAUGCUCUGAAGAAGUGAAUUUCCUCCUCCCCGACUAUCAGAGCACGUACGCCACCCACUACUGAUCACCUGAUGUCCAUGCCUGUUUAUACUUGUGGUUAAUUUUUUGUGUCAAUCUGACUGGACCAUGCGGUGCCCAGACAUUUGGUUAAGCAUUAUUCUGUGUAUGUCGGUGAGGGUGAAGGCCUGACCCUCCGCCAGUAGGAGGAUACUUCUCCUGAUUUCCUGCCUUGAGGUGGGAUGUCAGCUCUUUGCUACCUUUGGAUUCUAACUGAAACAUUGGCUCUUUCUGGGUCUCCAGCAUGCUGAUGGCAGAUCUUGGCACUUGUCAGCCUCCAUGUAACCAAUUCCUUACAAUCUCUCUCUCUCUCCUAUUGGUUCCAUUUCUCUGAAGGGCCCUAACUAGUACAAUAUCCAAGAAGCUCAUGCCGGGGCUUGUCUGUGUAUUUUGAGGGGAGGGCAAUGGGCCUGAGGAGACUGAGGCAGGCAUGUUUUUCAGCUUCCAGAAGGUUCUUCCUUUCCUCUGCUUUUUCUUUAGUUCUCCUCUCCCCUGACAAAGGGCCUUUGUUAAUCUGCAUAAUGACCUCAGGGAUAUCUCCGUUUUCAUCCACUUCCUCACUCCAAUUUACUCAUCAUAAAGCUAGAAUUUUUUAUGUAGACAUCACAGCGCUAUACCUGGAUUCUCGCUUUUGCCCCAAAUAGCUAACCUUACAUGCAGAAUAGUGGCAGGAGUAUCCAGAAAUAAUCCCGGAGCAGAUUUCUGUACGGUCCCAGAAGCCCUCAUUCUUUUUAUCCAGAGGGACAGUAUAAUACAUCUAAACAACUCAACAAACCAGUGAUAUGGUGGAGUAUGAUUCAGCAAAUAUUGAAAGGGGAGGAAGGAAGGCGGAAAGGCAGGAAGGCAAGAAGGCAGAAAGCAAGGAAGGGAGAGAGAGUGUGCUUGCUUAUACAAGCCAUUAUUUCAGUGACAUAAUGUCACUAAGAUAAGUAAGAAAUAAGAUCUUACCUUCAAGAGUCAAUAAGCUGGUGAAGGAUGGGGACUUGUGCACAAGUAACUUCAGCAUGAAGUAAUACUGUUAAGGAACUCUCACAGCCAAUGUGUUUGCCAGUGAAUCUAGACCAUUCCUAGUUUCCAUUAAAUGAAAGAUUCCAAGCUUCUCAGCAAAGCUCUUCUUCCCUAAUGCAAGUAGACGUCUGACUCUGACGCUGCCUCAGAUGACUUUCAAGCUGCAUAUCAUUUCCAAUGAUAAAGACAAGAAUUCUGGAAAACAGCACUGCAUCCCAGGUUUGCUAAAAAGAAGUGCAGGAAGAAGGGAGAACACUCAAGAAAGGUGUUUAGAUAGCACCCUUUGCUGUAUGUGUUUAGAUCUGAUGACUAAAACCCUAACACAAGCACUGAUGUCUCAGGAGCUUAGAGAGAAUUUAGAAUCUGUCUUCCUGCAUAUCCCAGUGAAGAC